AUUUGGAAACAGAUGCUAAUACCGAAUAAAACUUAGUGUCGCAUGACACAAAGUUAAAAGGCGCUUCGGCGUCACCUAGAGAUGGAUCCGCGGUGCAUUAGUUAGUUGGUGGGGUAAAGGCCUACCAAGACAAUGAUGCAUAGCCGAGUUGAGAGACUGAUCGGCCACAUUGGGACUGAGACACGGCCCAAACUCCUACGGGAGGCUGCAGUAGGGAAUCUUCCACAAUGGGCGAAAGCCUGAUGGAGCAACGCCGCGUGUGUGAUGAAGGCUUUCGGGUCGUAAAGCACUGUUGUAUGGGAAGAACAGCUAGAAUAGGAAAUGAUUUUAGUUUGACGGUACCAUACCAGAAAGGGACGGCUAAAUACGUGCCAGCAGCCGCGGUAAUACGUAUGUCCCGAGCGUUAUCCGGAUUUAUUGGGCGUAAAGCGAGCGCAGACGGUUUAUUAAGUCUGAUGUGAAAGCCCGGAGCUCAACUCCGGAAUGGCAUUGGAAACUGGUUAACUUGAGUGCAGUAGAGGUAAGUGGAACUCCAUGUGUAGCGGUGGAAUGCGUAGAUAUAUGGAAGAACACCAGUGGCGAAGGCGGCUUACUGGACUGCAACUGACGUUGAGGCUCGAAAGUGUGGGUAGCAAACAGGAUUAGAUACCCUGGUAGUCCACACCGUAAACGAUGAACACUAGGUGUUAGGAGGUUUCCGCCUCUUAGUGCCGAAGCUAACGCAUUAAGUGUUCCGCCUGGGGAGUACGACCGCAAGGUUGAAACUCAAAGGAAUUGACGGGGACCCGCACAAGCGGUGGAGCAUGUGGUUUAAUUCGAAGCAACGCGAAGAACCUUACCAGGUCUUGACAUCCUUUGAAGCUUUUAGAGAUAGAAGUGUUCUCUUCGGAGACAAAGUGACAGGUGGUGCAUGGUCGUCGUCAGCUCGUGUCGUGAGAUGUUGGGUUAAGUCCCGCAACGAGCGCAACCCUUAUUGUUAGUUGCCAGCAUUCAGAUGGGCACUCUAGCGAGACUGCCGGUGACAAACCGGAGGAAGGCGGGGACGACGUCAGAUCAUCAUGCCCCUUAUGACCUGGGCUACACACGUGCUACAAUGGCGUAUACAACGAGUUGCCAACCCGCGAGGGUGAGCUAAUCUCUUAAAGUACGUCUCAGUUCGGAUUGUAGUCUGCAACUCGACUACAUGAAGUCGGAAUCGCUAGUAAUCGCGGAUCAGCACGCCGCGGUGAAUACGUUCCCGGGUCUUGUACACACCGCCCGUCACACCA
This 1268-nucleotide ribosomal RNA is filed under the name Leuconostoc mesenteroides. RNAcentral describes it as "bacterial SSU rRNA". It matches the Rfam family "Bacterial small subunit ribosomal RNA", at positions 148 to 1404 of the family's 1533-position model. The record is from RNAcentral. Lineage: Bacteria; Bacillati; Bacillota; Bacilli; Lactobacillales; Lactobacillaceae.